CUCGGGGCUACAAGUGUGCAUGUCCAGAGGGCCUCUUCCUCCUGCCCUCAGGGAAGUGUGCAGAGCUGUCCAUCGUGUAUGCAUCAGGAAAGGCCAUCUCCCUGGUGCAUGUGGGCCCUGGAGCACACACCAAACAGGUGCAGGAGUGGCAAGAGCCCCUCCACUUGCAAGAUGUGGACUGGCAGAGGUCAGUGCUCUAUGGGACAGAUGACCGUGGGACUCUGCUGCGUGUUGUGGGCCACCCUGGCAGGAGAGAGGCCAUUGUGACUGGGCUGCCAGUCUGCUCUGCCCGUGUGGACAUCCGCUCCGGGGACCUGUACUGGCUCGCAUGUAACCGGAGGGACAUUGGCGUGAUCCGGACAUCUGACCAGUCCCCGCGCAUCCUGCACCGUGCUCGCAGCACCAUCCAGCACCUCUUCUUGGACUGGCAGCGUGGUGCUCUGUACUGGCUGGCCCGUGG
This 460-nucleotide long non-coding RNA is filed under the name Chloebia gouldiae (Gouldian finch). RNAcentral describes it as "Erythrura gouldiae (Gouldian finch) lncRNA (ENSEGOG00005003479.1)". The record is from RNAcentral. Lineage: Eukaryota; Metazoa; Chordata; Aves; Passeriformes; Passeridae.